Acanthosepion pharaonis is the source of this 81-nucleotide non-coding RNA. The record is from the annotation of a GenBank genome assembly. NCBI's taxonomy places the organism in Eukaryota, Metazoa, Mollusca, Cephalopoda, Sepiida, Sepiidae.
UUGAAACACCUGUUCUCGUGCGAUCAUCGAAGUUAAGCAACGUUGAGCUUAGGCGGUACCUAGAUGGGUGACUGCUUGAAU